RNAcentral lists this ribosomal RNA (443 nucleotides) under uncultured bacterium. RNAcentral's name for it is "partial 16S ribosomal RNA". It matches the Rfam family "Bacterial small subunit ribosomal RNA", at positions 338 to 795 of the family's 1533-position model. The record is from RNAcentral.
CCUACGGGAGGCUGUAGUGGGGAAUAUUGGACAAUGGGGGGAACCCUGAUCCAGCGACGCCGCGUGAGUGAAGAAGUAUUUCGGUAUGUAAAGCUCUAUCAGCAGGGAAGAAAGAAAUGACGGUACCUGACUAAGAAGCCCCGGCUAACUACGUGCCAGCAGCCGCGGUAAUACGUAGGGGGCAAGCGUUAUCCGGAUUUACUGGGUGUAAAGGGAGCGUAGACGGCGGUGCAAGUCAGAUGUGAAAGCCCGGGGCUCAACCCCGGGACUGCAUUUGGAACUGUGCUGCUAGAGUGUCGGAGAGGCAGGCGGAAUUCCUAGUGUAGCGGUGAAAUGCGUAGAUAUUAGGAGGAACACCAGUGGCGAAGGCGGCCUGCUGGACGAUGACUGACGUUGAGGCUCGAAAGCGUGGGGAGCAAACAGGAUUAGAUACCCCAGUAGUC